Molecule: long non-coding RNA, 1948 nt
Filed under: Cyanistes caeruleus (blue tit)
Lineage: Eukaryota; Metazoa; Chordata; Aves; Passeriformes; Paridae
Description: lncRNA (ENSCCEG00000002984.1)
Source: RNAcentral
AUGGGAUCAGGGUUGGGAUCAGGAUGGGAUCAGGAUGGGAUCAGGGUUGGGAUCAGGAUGGGAUCAGGAUGGGAUCAGGGUUGGGAUCGGGGUUGGGAUCAGGAUGGGAUCGGGAUGGGAUCAGGGUUGGGAUCGGGAUGGGAUCAGGAUGGGAUCAGGGUUGGGAUCGGGGUUGGGAUCAGGAUGGGAUCAGGGUUGGGAUCGGGAUGGGAUCAGGGUUGGGAUCGGGAUGGGAUCAGGAUGGGAUCAGGAUUGGAUCAGGACGGGAUCAGGGUUGGGAUCGGGGUUGGGUUUAGGGCUGGGGCUGUGGUGACACCCCGAGUGCAGCUGCCAAGACAAUCCUGGGAUGGUCCCUGGGUUUGGAGGCCCCCGUGGAAUUUUCCCGGCGCCAUUCCCGGCGCCAUUCCCAGUGCGUUCCUGUUCCCAUUCCCAUCCCGUUCCCAUUCCCAUCCCGUCCCCGUUCCCAUCCCGGUGCUGUUCCCGUUCCCAUUCCCAUCCCGUCCCCGUUCCCAUCCCGGUGCUGUUCCCGUUCCCAGUGUGCCCGGACCUGGUGGACAAGUACCUGGAGGAGACGUCCAUCCGCUACGUCACGCCCCGCGCGCCCGGGGGGGCCCCGCCCGGCCUCGGCCACCCCCACAAAUCAGGUACGGCCGGCUGGGUCCUGUGGGAUCGUUAUGUGUCCUUUGGGAUCGUUAUCCAUCCUUUGGGAUCGUUAUCCAUCCUUUGGGAUCAUUAUCUGUCCUUUGGGAUCGUUAUCCGUGCUUUGGGAUCGUUAUGUGUCCUGUGGGAUCGUUAUCCGUCCUUUGGGAUCGUUAUCCGUCCUUUGGGAUCGUUUUCUGUGCUUUGGGAUCAUUAUCUGUGCUUUGGGAUCGUUAUCUGUCCUUUGGGAUCAUUAUCUGUGCUUUGGGAUCGUUAUCCUUCCUUUGGGAUCGUUAUCUGUGCUUUGGGAUCGUUAUCUGUGCUUUGGGAUCGUUAUCUGUGCUUUGUCCUUUGGGAUCGUUAUCCAUCCUUUGGGAUCGUUAUCCGUCCUGUGGGGUCGUUAUCCAUCCUUUGGGAUCGUUAUCCGUCCUUUGGGAUCAUUAUCUGUGCUUUGGGAUCGUUAUCUGUGCUUUGGGAUCGUUAUCCGUCCUUUGGGAUCGUUAUCUGUGCUUUGGGAUCGUUAUCGGUCCUUUGGGAUCGUUAUCCGUCCUUUGGGAUCGUUAUCCAUCCUUUGGGAUCGUUAUCCAUCCUUUGGGAUCGUUAUCUGUCCUUUGGGAUCGUUAUCUGUCCUUUGGGAUCGUUAUGUGUCCUUUGGGAUCGUUAUCCAUCCUUUGGGAUCGUUAUCCGUCCUUUGGGAUCACUGUCACCCAUUUGGGAUCAUCACCCCCCCUUUGGGAUCAUCCCAGAGUUCCCCACCUCGGAGCCUCUCGGGGCUCUGGGUUUAGGAUCCGUGCCCAGAUCAACGGGGGGGGUUCAAGGAUUUGGGGCAGGAAUUGGGGUCACCUUAAUGAGGAGGGGAAUUUGGGGGUCCCUGGGUUGGGAAUUGGGGUCACCCAGGGACCCCCCCUCAGGGCAUCCCAAAAUUCCCACUCCAGCCCCCUUGCGGGGCUCUGCCCGGAUCUGUGGGGGAAUUUAUGGGGUCGGGGGGGACUGGGCUCACCCUUAGUGGGGGGAUUGGGGUCCCCCUCAAUGGAUGGGGGAGAUUUGGGGUCCCUGACCCCACUGGUUCCCCAGUGCCUGUCCCCCCGUCCCUGUGCUGACCCCCAGGGUGGGAUUUGGGGUCCCUGGGGCUGGAUUUGGGGUCCCUGACCCCAUUGGUGUCCCGUUCCCCAGUGCCUGCCCCCCACCCAUCCCUGUGCUGCCCCCCGGGGUGGGAUUUAGGGUCCCUGGGGAUGGAUUUGGGGUCCCUGGGGUGGGAUUUGGGAUGGAUUUGGGGUCCCUGGGGUGGGAUUUGGGGUCCCUGACCCCA